UUAAGCAGCCACACCUGAGUGUGAGUGCCUGAUAGUGUCUGAUCUCGGAAGCUAAGCAGGGGCUGUGCCUGGUUGGUACUUGGAUGGGAGACCAACUUGAAAGACCAGGGGCUACUAGCC
This 120-nucleotide ribosomal RNA is filed under the name Mastacembelus armatus (zig-zag eel). Lineage: Eukaryota; Metazoa; Chordata; Actinopteri; Synbranchiformes; Mastacembelidae. The record is from RNAcentral.